RNAcentral lists this ribosomal RNA (497 nucleotides) under uncultured bacterium. RNAcentral describes it as "partial 16S ribosomal RNA". It matches the Rfam family "Bacterial small subunit ribosomal RNA", at positions 39 to 507 of the family's 1533-position model. The record is from RNAcentral.
GGGGGGGGGGGGGGGCGGGGCUGGGGGGGGGGGGGGGAGCGGUGGGGGGGGGGGCUUGCGGUUCUUGGGUGGGGGGGGAACGGGUGGGGGGGGCGUAGGGAACCUGCCUUGUAGGGGGGGAUAGCUAUUGGAAACGGUAGCUACUACCGCAUAACAAUGGAUGACACAUGGCAUUUAUUUGAAAGGGGCAAUUGCUCCACUACAAGAUGGACCUGCGUUGUUUUAGCUAGUAGGUGAGGUAAUGGCUCACCUAGGCGACGAUACAUAGCCGACCGGAGAGGGUGAUCGGCCAACCUGGGACGGAGACACGGCCCAGACUCCUACGGGAGGCAGCAGUAGGGAAUCUGCGGCAAGGGGGGCAACCCUGACCGAGCAACGCCGCGUGAGUGAAGAAGGUGUUCGGAUCGUAAAGUUCUGUUGUAAGUCAAGAACGGGUGUGAGAGUGGAAAGUUCACACUGUGACGGUAGCUUACCAGAAAGGGACGGCUAACUACGUG